Molecule: ribosomal RNA, 468 nt
Filed under: uncultured bacterium
Lineage: Bacteria
Description: partial 16S ribosomal RNA
Rfam family: Bacterial small subunit ribosomal RNA
Source: RNAcentral
GACGAACGCUGGCGGCGUGCUUAACACAUGCAAGUCGAACGGAAAGGCCCUGCUUUUGUGGGGUGCUCGAUUGGCGAACGGGUGAGUAACACGUGAGUAACCUGCCCUUGACUUUGGGAUAACUUCAGGAAACUGGGGCUAAUACCGGAUAGGAGCUCCUGCUGCAUGGUGGGGGUUGGAAAGUUUCGGCGGUUGGGGAUGGACGCGCGGCUUAUCAGCUUGUUGGUGGGGUAGUGGCUUACCAAGGCUUUGACGGGUAGCCGGCCUGAGAGGGUGACCGGCCACAUUGGGACUGAGAUACGGCCCAGACUCCUACGGGAGGCAGCAGUGGGGAAUAUUGCCCAAUGGGCGGAAGCCUGAUGCAGCAACGCUGCGUGCGGGAUGACGGCCUUCGGGUUGUAAACCGCUUUCGCCUGUGACGAAGCGUGAGUGACGGUAAUGGGUAAAGAAGCACCGGCUAACUACGUG